CAGCAAGCAGCAAAAUCAGAGUCAUCAAGAUGGAGUCCCUGAAGACACCAUCAGCAUCAGGAGACACAAACAUGGCAGAGGAGAGAAAGGCACCAGCAGCAGCAAGCAGCAGAAUCAGAGUCAUCAAGAUGAAGUCCCUGAAGACACCAUCAGCAUCAGGAGACACAAACAUGGCAGAGGAGAGAAAGACACCACCAGCAGGAGGCAGCAAAGUCAGGGUGAUCGAGCUGGAGGCCCUGAAGACACCAUCAGCAUCAGGAGAGACAAUUGUGGUGAGGGCCAGAGACAUACCGGCGGGAGAGUAUGCAAUCAGGCUGGCCAGAAUAACAAAGGAAGACACAGCCAUUGCAAAGGAGAGAGAGCCAUCACCACCACCACCACCAGAAGCCCCCCGCCGACGUAGAAAAAAGAACUGGACAGACGCAGAAGCGCUCCUUCUUGUACAGCUGUACUCGGAGCAUUAUGCAGCUGUGUAGGAGCGUGGCAGCGUGCCACAGCACUCCACCCCUGGGAAGAGGAAGGCCUGGCACGACAUUGCCUGCCACCUGAGGGAGGCUUUUCCUGGGACACUGAGGACCGUGAGGGAUUGCCAGAAGAAGUGGUUCCAAUUGAAGGGUGCUGCCAAGCAUCAGAUCUGGGCCCACCAUCAAGCCCUUGAAUAUUCAGGCGACGGACCUCCCCCUCCUCCCCUCAGUCAGAUUGAAAGCUUGAUUGCCGACACAAUAAACAAUAAGCCUGAGCCCAGCGGCUGCCACGAUGGGCUUGCCCUACCGCCUUCCAACAAGGGGGCACCACCAGCCUGCAUGCCCUCAAGUCACAAGCAGGCAGCAGGAGGAUACAGCAGUGAUGCCCAAACAGCCUGCAACAUCACCCCCACAGCCUGCAACAUCACCACCACAGCCUGCAACAUCACCACCACAGCCUGCAACAUCACCACCACAGCCUGCAGCUUCACCCCCACAGCCUGCAACAUCACCACCCCAGCCUGCAGC
Eriocheir sinensis (Chinese mitten crab) is the source of this 992-nucleotide long non-coding RNA. RefSeq lists it as uncharacterized. The transcript has 3 exons. Lineage: Eukaryota; Metazoa; Arthropoda; Malacostraca; Decapoda; Varunidae. The record is from RefSeq and is a predicted model, not a curated record.